CCUACGGGUGGCAGCAGUGGGGAAUAUUGCACAAUGGACGGAAGUCUGAUGCAGCCACGCCGCGUGAAGGAUGACGUCACUCGUUGUUUUAAGCUCUAUCUGCACGGGAGCAAGUGACGGUACCUGUAUACUUAGCUCAGGCUAAAUACGGGCCAGCAGCCGCGGUAAUACGUCGGGCGCCAGCGUUAUCCGGAUUUACUGGGUGGAAAGUGGGAGUAGGUGGUAGAGCAAGUCAGAGGUUAAAUCACUCAGCUCAACGAUGGAAAUGCUUGAGAAAAUGGUCAGCUAGAGUGUAGGAGAGGCAAGUGGAAUUCUUGGUGUAGCGGUGAAAUGCGUAGAGAUCAGGAGGAACACCAGUGGCGAAGGCGGCUAGCUGGACUAUAACUGACGCUGAGGCUCGAAAGCGUGGGGAGCAAACAGGAUUAGAUACCCGUGUAGUC
This 440-nucleotide ribosomal RNA is filed under the name uncultured bacterium. RNAcentral's name for it is "partial 16S ribosomal RNA". It matches the Rfam family "Bacterial small subunit ribosomal RNA", at positions 338 to 795 of the family's 1533-position model. The record is from RNAcentral.